Molecule: small nuclear RNA, 119 nt
Filed under: Operophtera brumata (winter moth)
Lineage: Eukaryota; Metazoa; Arthropoda; Insecta; Lepidoptera; Geometridae
Description: U5 spliceosomal RNA
Rfam family: U5 spliceosomal RNA
About the family: U5 RNA is a component of both types of known spliceosome. The precise function of this molecule is unknown, though it is known that the 5' loop is required for splice site selection and p220 binding, and that both the 3' stem-loop and the Sm site are important for Sm protein binding and cap methylation.
Source: Rfam by way of RNAcentral
UUACUCUGGUUUCCCUUCAAUACGUACAAAUCUUUCGCCUUUUACUAAAGAUUUCCGUGGAGGGGAACACUCAAAUGAGUCUAACUCAUGUUUUUGGAUGCUUCUGUUUCGACAGAGCU